Molecule: ribosomal RNA, 1289 nt
Filed under: Magadha flavisigna
Lineage: Eukaryota; Metazoa; Arthropoda; Insecta; Hemiptera; Achilidae
Description: SSU rRNA
Rfam family: Eukaryotic small subunit ribosomal RNA
Source: RNAcentral
AGUGAGGAAAAAUAACGAUACGGGACUCAUCCGAGGCCUCGUAAUCGGAAGGAGUAUACUAUAAAUCCUUAUACGAGUAUCAAUUGGAGGGCAAGUCUGGUGCCAGCAGCCGCGGUAAUUCCAGCUCCAAUAGCGUAUAUUAAAGUUGUUGCGGUUAAAAAGCUCGUAGUUGGAUCUGUGUCCCGCGCCGCCGGUUCACCGCCUGUCGGUGUUCAACUGGCGUGUCUGCGGAACGUCCUGCCGGUGGCGGUUCGGUGCGCCCGUAGGUACGUAGGGGUGGCCAAGCAUUGCUCGGUUUUCCUCGAAGUCCUGCGCGUGUUGCCAGCCGCCUCGUCAAUCCCGUCGCGUUGCUCUUCACCGAGUGUCGAGGCGGGCCGGCACGUUUACUUUGAACAAAUUAGAGUGCUUUAAGCAGGCCCUGUCCCGCCUGUAUGUUGUGUGCAUGGAAUAAUGGAAUAGGACCUCGGUUCUAUUUUGUUGGUUUCCGGAAUCUGAGGUAAUGAUCAAUGGGGACAGGCGGGGGCAUUCGUAUUGCGACGUUAGAGGUGAAAUUCUUGGAUCGUCGCAAGACGGACCGAAGCGAAAGCAUUUGCCAAGUAUGUUCUCGUCGAUCAAGAACGAAAGUUAGAGGUUCGAAGGCGAUCAGAUACCGCCCUAGUUCUAACCAUAAACUAUGCCUGCCAGCGAUCCGCCGAAGUUCCUCCGAUGACUCGGCGGGCAGCUUCCGGGAAACCAGAGCUUUUGGGUUCCGGGGGAAGUAUGGUUGCAAAGCUGAAACUUAAAGGAAUUGACGGAAGGGCACCACCAGGAGUGGAGCCUGCGGCUUAAUUUGACUCAACACGGGAAAACUCACCAGGCCAGGACACCGGAAGGAUUGACAGAUUGAGAGCUCUUUCUUGAUUCGGUGGGUGGUGGUGCAUGGCCGUUCUUAGUUGGUGGAGCGAUUUGUCUGGUUAAUUCCGAUAACGAACGAGACUCUAGCCUACUAACUAGGCGUACCCGGUAUCCACAAUCGUGCUACCGGCGAAUAUAUUUCUUCUUAGAGGGACAGGCGGCUUCUAGCCGCACGAGACUGAGCAAUAACAGGUCUGUGAUGCCCUUAGAUGUCCUGGGCCGCACGCGCGCUACACUGAAGGAAUCAGCGUGUCUUCCCUGUCCGAAAGGACCGGGUAACCCGCUGAACCUCCUUUGUGCUAGGGAUUGGGGCUUGCAAUUGUUCCCCAUGAACGAGGAAUUCCCAGUGAGCGCGAGUCAUGAGCUCGCGUUUUUAGUCCCUGCCCUUGUAAACA